Non-coding RNA from Peromyscus maniculatus bairdii (prairie deer mouse), 926 nucleotides. Lineage: Eukaryota; Metazoa; Chordata; Mammalia; Rodentia; Cricetidae. The record is from RefSeq and is a predicted model, not a curated record.
CUGAGUCAAGAAUCUAGACCCAGCUAAUAUGGGUACUUUGUAGGAGUCUCUCAAAAGGCUUCCACCACAGUGUCUCCUGGGACUGGUGCCGCGGACUAAGGCUUCACAUGGGAAGGAUUUGCUUCCAAGUUCACUCAUCUUCUCGUGAAAGAGAAAGACAAAUGUCAUCAAAAGUGAUAUCUGGAAAGUGAGAAGAGAGAGCGAGACCAGCCUCCCCACACCCUGCAACUACCCAGCUUCAGACACGACCAUCUGAACUGGACAGUGUGUUUUAUUAGCUGCUUUAACUUUCAUAGCAAGUUUUCAAGAUAACUGGAAGUCAAACCCAGGCCCCUUAGUGUUCUGUCCCGCUAACAGAUUGGAAAUAAUGGGGAAGAAGGAACGCCAGAUACUGCAUCAAGUGUCAAUGUCACAAGGCCCGGUGCUGAGCUUGGACUGAAAACACAAGUCAACAGAACUAGUUCCUCCUUCCACUGUGUUCUUAGGUGCUCACCACAGCAAUGGAUGAUACAACUAGAUGAACAAAGAAGGCUUCUGGUACCAAAGACAGCUUGACCAAGGCUGGAUGGUGGCCAGCUCACUAUCAUAGGGUCACACUUGGUUUGUGACCAACACCAGUGCUAUUGUCUGCUUGCCAUCCUUCUUGAACUCACUCUUGGGUCUGCACACACGGGACUGAAUGCCAACAUCAUAUAUAAAGAUUCACACGUAAGAGAGAGCUUGAAGGACCACUCAAGCAAAGACAGCCCUCUUUAUUGGGCAGAAGGUGGACCGGGUCUCUCAGGAUAACAACUGAAAACAGGGAACUACCUCUAGUAUUUGAAAGUUCUGAAGGGUUCACCUUUAAACACUCAAUUUCAUUGCCGGAGUUGACCUCUACGCCCAGGAAGUGAGACACAGACGAGGAGUCUCUGGAUUCUCUUUGG